This 76-nucleotide transfer RNA is filed under the name Erysipelothrix sp. RNAcentral describes it as "tRNA-Ala". It matches the Rfam family "tRNA". Rfam says of the family: Transfer RNA (tRNA) molecules are approximately 80 nucleotides in length. Their secondary structure includes four short double-helical elements and three loops (D, anti-codon, and T loops). Further hydrogen bonds mediate the characteristic L-shaped molecular structure. tRNAs have two regions of fundamental functional importance: the anti-codon, which is responsible for specific mRNA codon recognition, and the 3' end, to which the tRNAs corresponding amino acid is attached (by aminoacyl-tRNA synthetases). tRNAs cope with the degeneracy of the genetic code in two manners: having more than one tRNA (with a specific anti-codon) for a particular amino acid; and 'wobble' base-pairing, i.e. permitting non-standard base-pairing at the 3rd anti-codon position. Lineage: Bacteria; Bacillati; Bacillota; Erysipelotrichia; Erysipelotrichales; Erysipelotrichaceae. The record is from RNAcentral.
GGGGGCGUAGCUCAUUUGGGAGAGCGCUUGACUGGCAGUCAAGAGGUAGUGGGUUCGAUCCCCAUCGCUUCCACCA